UAUCUCUGUAGAGUCUGCAUAUCAAUAAGCGGAGGAAAAGAAACUAACAAGGAUUCCCUUAGUAACGGCGAGUGAAGCGGGAAGAGCUCAAAUUUGAAAUCUUCAAGGUUCUACCUUGACGAAUUGUAGUUUAAAGAAGUGUUUUCUGUUAGAAGUUAGGUACAAAGUUCCUUGGAAUAGGACAUCAUAGAGGGUGAGAAUCCCGUAUUUGGUUAUUCAUUCUAGCUGUGUGAUACACUUUCAAAGAGUCGGAUUGUUUGGGAAUGCAGUCCAAAAUGGGUGGUAAAUUUCAUCUAAAGCUAAAUAUUGGCGAGAGACCGAUAGCGAACAAGUACCGUGAGGGAAAGAUGAAAGAACUUUGAAAAGAGAGUUAAACAGUACGUGGAAUUGUCAAAAGGGAAGCGUUUGACACCAGUGUUGUUUUUCCGAAAAUCAAUUACGAAUGGCUUGAUUUUGUGUUGUAUUGACCUUAUCAGCUUUCUUCACUUUUUUCGAGUCUUUCUUAAUGCGCUUUUCGGUUAACAAGUCAACAUCAAUUUCUUUUGUUGUAAAAGAGUAUUCGGAAGGUGGCUUUCUUUUCGGAGAAAGUGUUUAUAGCCCUAUACUUCUACAAUCGGAGAGAUUGAGGUCUGCAGCGUAGAUCCUUCGGGGUUAGAUACAUUUGUGCUAAGUUGUAGCUUUUCAUAGACAACUUGUUGACUAUGUUUAGUCAUGCGGCUUACUCGCUUAUGCUAUUUUACCUACGCUUAGGAUGUUGACUGAUAUGUAGUCGU
This 773-nucleotide ribosomal RNA is filed under the name uncultured Neocallimastigales. RNAcentral describes it as "partial large subunit ribosomal RNA". It matches the Rfam family "Eukaryotic large subunit ribosomal RNA", at positions 24 to 643 of the family's 3401-position model. The record is from RNAcentral. Lineage: Eukaryota; Fungi; Neocallimastigomycota; Neocallimastigomycetes; Neocallimastigales.